Molecule: ribosomal RNA, 573 nt
Filed under: uncultured Glomeromycotina
Lineage: Eukaryota; Fungi; Glomeromycota
Description: SSU rRNA
Rfam family: Eukaryotic small subunit ribosomal RNA
Source: RNAcentral
UUGGAGGGCAAGUCUGGUGCCAGCAGCCGCGGUAAUUCCAGCUCCAAUAGCGUAUAUUAAAGUUGUUGCAGUUAAAAAGCUCGUAGUUGAAUUUCGGGAUUGACGGUGAUGGUCAUGCCUUAAGGGGUAUGAACUGUCACUGUUGAUUUCUCACCUUCUGGAGAAACUUGAUGUCCUUUAUUGGGUGUCUUGCGGAUCCAGGACCUUUACCUUGAAAAAAUUAGAGUGUUUAAAGCAGGCAUUUUUGCUCGAAUACAUUAGCAUGGAAUAAUAGAAUAGGAUGGCAUGGUUCUAUUUUGUUGGUUUCUAGGAUCACCGUAAUGAUUAAUAGGGAUAGUUGGGGGCAUUAGUAUUCAAUUGUCAGAGGUGAAAUUCUUGGAUUUAUUGAAGACUAACUACUGCGAAAGCAUUUGCCAAGGAUGUUUUCAUUAAUCAAGAACGAAAGUUAGGGGAUCGAAGACGAUCAGAUACCGUCGUAGUCUUAACCAUAAACUAUGCCGACUAGGGAUUGGACGAUGUUAAUUUUUUAAUGACUCGUUCAGCACCUUACGGGAAACCAAAGUGUUUGGGUUC